This 491-nucleotide ribosomal RNA is filed under the name uncultured bacterium. RNAcentral's name for it is "partial 16S ribosomal RNA". It matches the Rfam family "Bacterial small subunit ribosomal RNA", at positions 29 to 506 of the family's 1533-position model. The record is from RNAcentral.
AGUGAACGCUGGCGGUAGGCCUAACACAUGCAAGUCGAACGGCAGCACAGUAAGAGCUUGCUCUUACGGGUGGCGAGUGGCGGACGGGUGAGGAAUACAUCGGAAUCUACUUUUUCGUGGGGGAUAACGUAGGGAAACUUACGCUAAUACCGCAUACGACCUACGGGUGAAAGCAGGGGAUCUUCGGACCUUGCGCGAUUGAAUGAGCCGAUGUCGGAUUAGCUAGUUGGCGGGGUAAAGGCCCACCAAGGCGACGAUCCGUAUCUGGUCUGAGAGGAUGAUCAGCCACACUGGAACUGAGACACGGUCCAGACUCCUACGGGAGGCAGCAGUGGGGAAUAUUGGACAAUGGGCGCAAGCCUGAUCCAGCCAUACCGCGUGGGUGAAGAAGGCCUUCGGGUUGUAAAGCCCUUUUGUUGGGAAAGAAAAGCAGCAGGUUAAUACCCCGCUGUUCUGACGGUACCCAAAGAAUAAGCACCGGCUAACUUCGU